This 207-nucleotide ribosomal RNA is filed under the name uncultured bacterium. RNAcentral describes it as "partial 16S ribosomal RNA". It matches the Rfam family "Bacterial small subunit ribosomal RNA", at positions 568 to 774 of the family's 1533-position model. The record is from RNAcentral.
UGCGUAGGCGGCCGCUUAAGUAGGGUGUGAAAUGUCCCGGCUCAACCGGGGAAUGGCGCUCUAAACUGGGUGGCUCGAGUGAGAUAGAGGUGUGCGGAACUUCCGGUGGAGCGGUGAAAUGUGUUGAUAUCGGAGGGAACACCAUUAGCGAAAGCGGCACACUGGGUCUUAACUGACGCUGAGGCACGAAAGCCAGGGGAGCAAACG